GCCACCACCCCUCCUGGCUCCCCUGGCUGGCUCCGGAGGGCUGGCGCUGGGGCUGGCACGCUUACCAGCCAACCUGGGAGCUUUGGGCUCUUCUGUGGCUGCUACCUGUCCGCCCUGGGCGCUUGUGGGGACUGAGAUCUCAGGUCAGAGGGCGGCACGCGGACACUCCCCCCACAUUCGGAAACAGAGGCGAGUGCCCAUGGAGACACGCACCGACAGGCACACUUGCACCCCGACAGACAUGCUCGGGCUUAUACGGAACCACAACCAUAGACUGAGACACACCCGUGCAGCGCACCGACAAACACCCUGGCGAGCUCCGAAGCCGACAGGCGCAAAGUCACCCUGCCCAACACAGAGACAAACACAGAAGCACGGAGAAGCAGAAAGGCAUGGGCACACACAGAAGUAAACAACACACGAGCGCUCACUUGGAGGCGAGCAGAGCGCCCCAUCCAGCUCUCCUGAAUUACCUGCUCUGGGGGAAGACCUCCACCAUGUACACGACCCAGAGACAGCCAGGCAAUGAGGAAGCCCAAACUUGGAGGAGCCCCAAGGGAAGCGAUGCCCCCAGUCACUCCCGCGUAGCCCUGGCCUUAAGGUGACUCCAGCCCCAGCCGCCAUCUGGCUGUAAACGCAUUAACAGCUCCAAGAAAAACCCACCCAGUUGAACCCCUUCCACAAUCCAGAGACAAAAAUAAAAUGGUUCUUGCUGAAA
Myotis brandtii (Brandt's bat) is the source of this 718-nucleotide long non-coding RNA. RefSeq lists it as uncharacterized. Lineage: Eukaryota; Metazoa; Chordata; Mammalia; Chiroptera; Vespertilionidae. The record is from RefSeq and is a predicted model, not a curated record. The transcript is spliced from 2 exons.